GGGACCCCAGCCCUGCGUGAUCUCACCAUGUGCGGAUUUGCGAGGCGCGCCCUGGAGCUGCUAGAGAUCCGGAAGCACAGCCCCGAGGUGUGCGAAGCCACCAAACAUCCCAGUUACCAGUGUCCUUGAAUUGAUAGUGGCUUCUGUUUGUCAGUCUCAUAUAAAAACUACAGCUCAUCAGGAGGAGAUCGCAGCAGGGUCAAGUUCCUAACGAGUCUUCAGAGGAGGCAGCAGGAAGCUCAGAGAGCUGCAAAGCAACCGUGCCCAUCUGUCAAGACAUUCCUGAGAAGAACAUACAAGAAAGUCUUCCUCAAAGAAAAACGAGUCGGAGCCGAGUCUAUCUUCACACUUUGGCAGAGAGUAUUUGCAAACUGAUUUUCCCAGAGUUUGAACGGCUGAACGUUGCACUUCAGAGAACAUUGGCAAAGCACAAAAUAAAAGAAAGCAGGAAAUCUUUGGAAAGAGAAGACUUUGAAAAAAUAAUUGCAGAACAAGCAGUUGCAGCAGGAGUUCCAGUGGAGGUUAUCAAAGAAUCUCUUGGUGAAGAGCUUUUUAAAAUAUGUUAUGAGGAAGAUGA
Molecule: small RNA, 577 nt
Filed under: Pongo abelii (Sumatran orangutan)
Lineage: Eukaryota; Metazoa; Chordata; Mammalia; Primates; Hominidae
Description: processed transcript
Source: RNAcentral